RNAcentral lists this ribosomal RNA (996 nucleotides) under uncultured Actinomycetales bacterium. Its description in RNAcentral is "bacterial SSU rRNA". It matches the Rfam family "Bacterial small subunit ribosomal RNA", at positions 55 to 1065 of the family's 1533-position model. Lineage: Bacteria; Bacillati; Actinomycetota; Actinomycetes; Actinomycetales. The record is from RNAcentral.
AUGCAAGUCAACGAUGAAGCUGGAGCUUGCUCCGGUGGAUUAGUGGCGAACGGGUGAGUAACACGUGAGCAAUCUGCCCUUGACUCUGGGAUAACUGCGGGAAACUGUAGCUAAUACCGGAUACGACGCCUUGGGGCAUCCCACGGGCGUGGAAAGAAUUUCGGUCAAGGAUGAGCUCGCGGCCUAUCAGCUAGUUGGUGAGGUAAUGGCUCACCAAGGCGACGACGGGUAGCCGGCCUGAGAGGGUGACCGGCCACACUGGGACUGAGACACGGCCCAGACUCCUACGGGAGGCAGCAGUGGGGAAUAUUGCGCAAUGGGCGAAAGCCUGACGCAGCAACGCCGCGUGAGGGAUGAAGGCCUUCGGGUUGUAAACCUCUUUUAUCAGGGAAGAAGCGAAAGUGACGGUACCUGAAGAAAAAGCACCGGCUAACUACGUGCCAGCAGCCGCGGUAAUACGUAGGGUGCAAGCGUUAUCCGGAAUUAUUGGGCGUAAAGAGCUCGUAGGCGGUUUGUCGCGUCUGCUGUGAAAAUCUGAGGCUCAACCUCGGACUUGCAGUGGGUACGGGCAGACUAGAGUGCGGUAGGGGAGAAGGGAAUUCCUGGUGUAGCGGUGGAAUGCGCAGAUAUCAGGAGGAACACCAAUGGCGAUGGCACUUCUCUGGGCCGCUACUGACGCUGAGGAGCGAAAGCGUGGGGAGCGAACAGGAUUAGAUACCCUGGUAGUCCACGCCGUAAACGUUGGGCGCUAGAUGUGGGUCACAUUCCACGUGAUCCGUGUCGCAGCUAACGCAUUAAGCGCCCCGCCUGGGGAGUACGGCCGCAAGGCUAANACUCAAAGGAAUUGACGGGGGCCCGCACAAGCGGCGGAGCAUGCGGAUUAAUUCGAUGCAACGCGAAGAAUCUUACCAGGCUUGACAUAUAGAGGAAAACUGCAGAAAUGUAGUCCCCGCAAGGUCUCUAUACAGGUGGUGCAUGGUUGUCGUCAGCUCGUGU